Sitodiplosis mosellana (orange wheat blossom midge) is the source of this 1240-nucleotide long non-coding RNA. RefSeq lists it as uncharacterized. The record is from RefSeq and is a predicted model, not a curated record. The transcript has 3 exons. Lineage: Eukaryota; Metazoa; Arthropoda; Insecta; Diptera; Cecidomyiidae.
UCGCGUUUUUCGACAGCCAAUCGAUUUCUUGAUAAACACUAUGGUGAUGAUUGUGCUUUUUUGUAUGUCUGACUGAAACUGUUUUUUUCGCAUAUUGUAUCAAAGUUCUCUUCUGCGUUUUAUUCUUUCCAUUUCGUUGUGUAUGAAAGGUACGGACCGUUUGAUAAGAAUUUAGUUGAAUUUGGUCAGUACUGGUGAAUAAGAGUUCUUGGUGAUUUUUCCGUCCGUUCGAAGAAAGUUAAGAAAACUGAAAUCAUGCAUUACAACCGAUGGCUUGGAUACUAUAAAUGCCGAUUCUGUAAUGCACCAGAAUUCAAAACGGUGAACUUCCAGCCACAUGUACCGAGACCCUGUAUGCGAUGCUACCGAUAUAUUUGCCCAUAUCCGGAUCAGUUCUUCCGUGAUGGUGAACCACUUCCUCAAAGAUAUUUUUGAUGGUCAGAUUCUGUCAGCAUCCGUCGUUUUUACAACUCGAUGACAAAUAAGAUGCAAAAUCCCUGUUCAUUCAAAGAGACGCAUUGAAUAAAAGCUAUCCAAAAAAAUCUUUUGGAAAAACGCCAGCGAAAAUUCAAGUGUUUUCGUUGAAGUUUUUACAUUUUUAUCACAUGAAUACAAGCUAUAAAUACUUUUUAGGUGAAAUUCGAGUAAGUAUUUGAAUUCCAUUAGGAAUGUGGGUCUAAGAAUAGAAGAAGUGAUUUUUGCUAUCAAAAUUGUGAAUAUUUCUUGCUCGUUUUGUUUUGAUUCACAACCGAUGAAUCAUAAACACGUGAUAAAAAAGUAUAUUCUCUUAAAUCGAUUUCUGCUACGGAGUUGAUUACACUUUGGCGGUAAUUGCACGAAUUGAUUUAAAAUAAACAGUUAUAUUAUAAACAGAGUCUCCCAAAUAUGAUCUAUCAACAGUCAACACUUUGGAACAAAUAGAAAACAUGUUUUUAACUCGCAUCCACCGAAGUGAAAACAAUUCGUUGCUAUCAUCGCUACAAAAUUGAAUCAUUGCUAUAUUUUCAUUCGAUUCGAUUGGCAGUACGAAAUUCCUUUUAUUUUUCUUUUGAUUUGCUUCGAGUUAAUACAGUUUCUUGGUGAAAUAAAGAGCGACAGAAAUUCCAUCCGCCUUGAAACAUGUUAAACCGGUGGCAUGCAUUCUACACGUGUAGAUGUUGCAACGAGCAAUAUGAAUCGAUAAACAUCUAAUAAUUCCAGAAUCGUGUCUGCCCCAAUAAAUGUAGUGCCAUCAAUUUUC